Molecule: long non-coding RNA, 1569 nt
Organism: Protopterus annectens (West African lungfish)
Lineage: Eukaryota; Metazoa; Chordata; Ceratodontiformes; Protopteridae
Exons: 2
Source: RefSeq, a predicted model, not a curated record
AAUAGGGGAGUUAUGCACCCUUUUUUUAUAAAAAGUCUUUCCUCUCUAUCUAGGUGGAAUGUACAGAGGACCAAGUAGCAGCUUCCAGGAUGCUUCUAGAAUCCACCACUUUCCAAAGUCAUAGAAGAAGUCAGGAUCCAUGUAGAGUGGGCCUUGUCCCUGCCUGGAAUAGAUUUGUCAUGCCACCAGCAUCUAUCAGUAUAACUCUUUGCACAUCACAUCAAGAACAGAUGUCUUUACUGAAGACUUAAAGUUCUCUUCUCCAUUUUGAACACAGUAAAACUAUGCUGGCGAUAGUAACAACAUGUAUGUUAAAGACAGGAGCAGCGACAAGGAAGAAUGAUGAAGCUCCCAACGACUGGUAAAGAUAUAAUGCUCCAUGCAUGAUGAUUUCAUGUGUACAUGUGUGUAUGUGUGUACCAAGUGAAGUAAAUAAAUAAAGCAUACAUUAAAAAAUUCUCCUUGAUAUCUGGCAGUUAGCUCAGAUGAUUAAGGCUACAAUCUAAUUAAAAUUUACUUUCAACAGUAAUGGGUUUCAUUUUUUUGGCCUCCUUUUGCCUACUGCUUGAUUUCAACAUAUCACAUAACCAGACAGUGCUCUGAAACAGCUGGGAAAUUUGUCUAGGCUCUUCAUUGGUCUAUUGUCUGCAUUCCUGCCAAGUACCUAUGAACCAGCAUAAAACCUAGUGAAAAUCUUUCAUCCCCUGGCAUUCCCAUAUUCAUUCCCUGGCAUUCCCAUAAAAUAUAACUUGCUCCCACAGCAUCACAAACAGAUAUUGAAAUGAAAUUAUUUGAAAUAUAUUUUCUUGACUACCUCCAAGUAUUUACGAAGUUUCAGAAAUGUAAUAUUGCAUAGACACAAAGUAAAACCAUAUCACUUUACAUUUAGGCAGACAAAAUAAUGCUUCCAUGAUUAUAUGAACAAUUUCAAAUGAGUCCUUAAAGCUCUAAAAUUAAUAUACUGACACAGAGUUAUAUGGUCCAUCCUGAUGUGUCAGGCUCUGGUUACUUUACUGUAUAUAGUGUGCAGAGUACUUUUGCAAAUAAUAUAUCAACCUCACAAUAAUGUAAUUUUAACUCACAAUAAUGUAAUUUAACUCACAAUAAUGAACUUUAACUCACAAUAAUGUAAUUUUAACAUUACAGAUGCAGUACAUUGAGCUUUGUAUACAAAUAUGGCAGACAGUGAAAACAGUUAGAAAUCUUCAUAUAGGAUCCUCCAAAGAAAUUUGGUAAGCCAUGCAAUGAUGUAAGAUAUAAAAUAAAUGAUUUCUGGCACAUCUGAAUUAUAAUGCAUGUAAUAAAAAAGGCUGAUAAGCUACCAAGCUGCUAGAUCUGUGUUGCUGUAAUACAUUAAUGUAGACAUGUAUAUGUACUCUACAGUGCUGGCUUUUUUUAAGUAAUAGAUAGUAUUAGGAAAAUAUGAUAUGCCCUACAUAUUAACCUUAGAAUGUAAGCUGCAUUGUAAUAUUGCAUUACAACAAUGCAACAGGGCUGUAUUUAUCUGCAUGUGUUGUCAUAUGUAAGAAUGCAUGUCUUGUUAUAUGUAAGAAUAAAGCGUUAACUGAA